RNAcentral lists this transfer RNA (76 nucleotides) under Actinoallomurus spadix. RNAcentral's name for it is "tRNA-Pro". It matches the Rfam family "tRNA". From Rfam's summary of the family: Transfer RNA (tRNA) molecules are approximately 80 nucleotides in length. The record is from RNAcentral. RNAcentral also lists the same sequence under 3 other names. Lineage: Bacteria; Bacillati; Actinomycetota; Actinomycetes; Streptosporangiales; Thermomonosporaceae.
CGGGGUGUAGCGCAGCUUGGCAGCGCGCUUCGUUCGGGACGAAGAGGUCGUGGGUUCAAAUCCCGCCACCCCGACC